Molecule: ribosomal RNA, 478 nt
Filed under: uncultured bacterium
Lineage: Bacteria
Description: SSU rRNA
Rfam family: Bacterial small subunit ribosomal RNA
Source: RNAcentral
AGGAUGAACGCUGGCGGCGUGCCUAACACAUGCAAGUCGAACGUCCUGUCUCGCAAGAGGCAGGGAGUGGCGGACGGGUGAGUACCACGUGGGUCAUCUACCGUGAGGCGAGGAAUACCGGCGAGAAAUCGCCGACAAGACCGCAUAGGCUCGAUGCAAGUCGAGCAAAGCUCUUUCGAGAGAGGGAGCGCCACACGAGGAGCCUGCGCCCGAUUAGCUAGCUGGUGGAGUAACGGUUCACCAGGGCGACGAUCGGUAGCUGGUCUGAGAGGACGAUCAGCCACACUGGGAUUGAGAACGGCCCAGACUCCUACGGGGGGCAGCAGUGAGGAAUUUUCGUCAAUGGGGGCAACCCUGAACGAGCAACGCCGCGUGCAGGAAGAAGGUUUUCGGAUCGUAAACUGCUUUUCUCGGGGAAGAGAAUGGACGGUACCCGAGGAAUCGAGCCCCGGCUAACGUACGCGCCAGCAGCCGCGGU